This 3785-nucleotide long non-coding RNA is filed under the name Homo sapiens (human). RNAcentral describes it as "HSALNT0269478". Lineage: Eukaryota; Metazoa; Chordata; Mammalia; Primates; Hominidae. The record is from RNAcentral.
GGGGAAUUUGCCCUGACAGACACAGAGCCUGGGGCUGGAGAUUUUCUGAGAUGCCUCAGGCUCCUUCCCACAAAUUUCGCAUCAGCUUGAGCUCAGUGGGAGUAGAAUCUGCCACCGACAAACUCCUAAGAUGGCUUUGUUCAUUCCCACCUUCAUCAUAAAUCAGGUUGGGGUGGAGAAGCAAUAUCCCUAAGGGAAAAAUAAAAGUCUCCAAGCUAGGACUUUCAGCCUGGGGCCUGACAUUGCACAGAAAAUGGCCACUGCAGUCUCACAGGAACGCAGCCAGUCAAUGGUUUUCCUGAAACAAACUCUCAUCAUCUGAGAGAACCUGCAUGCACCUCUGCUCCCUGCACCCCAGAGGGAACCAGCAGUGUGCCCUGGGAAAAGCUGGGGCCCCACAGGUCCCAGUCUCUGAACAGGGUCUCGUAUAAAGAAGCACCGUCCAGCAACUAUUGCAGCAUUCACUGGCAUCUCGAAGACAGUAUCAACGAGUAUCUACAUCACAACCCGUAACCUCGCUCCUCAAGUUCCCUGUCCUCCCCUCCCAACCCCUGUACCCACAGCUGAUCGUGAGCCUCACACCCACCCACCUCCAGCAGUGCCAGAUUCACUCCUUACUUCCCCACUCUCUUCAUAUGGAGAGUGACAGCUUCCCUAGGUGGGUUAGAGCCGCUUUGGGCCCAUCUUUCUGAUCUUGUCUCUCUUGUUCCAUUCUCCAGUUUUUUGUUCUAAAAUAUCUGGCAAACACGUCAUUUUGAAUUAGUUUGGGGAGGUCAGGGUGCAGUUGGGGCAGGAACAUUUCCACAUUAACAAUUCUUGCUCUCACCAUGAUACUGAUUUUUUUUCUGGAGACAGAGUCUCGCUCUGUUGCCCAGGCUGGAGUGCAGUGGGGCGAUCUUGGCUCACUACAACGUCUGCCUCCUGGUUUCACACAGUUCUCAUGCCUCAGCCUCCCGAGUAGCUGGGACUACAGGUGCAUGCCACCAUACCCAACUCAUUUUUCAUAUUUUAGUGAAAACAAGGUUUCACCAUGUUGGCCAGGCUGGUCUUGAACUCCCAAGCUCUGGCAGUCUGACUGCCUCGGCCUCCCAAGGUGCUAGGAUUACAGCUGUAAGCCACUGCACCCGGCCAGAUACUGAUUUUUUUUAACCCUACUAUUUACUGGGCACAUACUACACAUCAGGCGGUGACCUCAGUAUUUUCCAUUGAAAAGAUCGUUUAAUCCUCAAAAUGAUUUCAUAAAACUGAUUAAAAUCCCUAAUUUAUAAGUAAUAACUGAGAGAGAUCAAGUACUCCAAGAAAGAAGGAAAAAGGGAGAGAGAGAAGAUCCUUGUGAUGAUGAAAUCCCUUAGACUUUGCCAUCUCAUCUUUCUCCUGCCUCCACACAAGGUCGUAGAAGAAAACAACAUGGACCACUUGCCAGCGUCUCUUUGAACAGAGAAGCUACUGCUGUCUAAGGCAUUUUGUUCCCAUGAGGGAAGAGUCUGGGAGAGAAGCAACCUGGUGGAGAGUGGGCCUAAGACACGGAGAGAGGAUGUUGAUGCCGUGAGUUCCCAAUCCCGCCGCGCCCGUCAGACUUACCCUCAGCUUUCCAGUCUCAGGAGCCAACACUCUUUCCUUCAGCCAGAUCAAGGUCCUUGUCACUUACAGCCAACACCACAACUGAUACAAAAGGGAAGGACACAAAACAAUUGUGGAGAAAGCCGUCUGGAUGGAGCCAGCAGCUUCGCUACCAUCGAGUGGCAUUUCCAGAGAGCAGAUGCACGCGGAGGGGUGUAGUUUGAAGGAAGACCUGGCGGGAUUUGCUAAUGAAUUGGAUAGCAGCGUAGUGAAAGAGACCCUCAGGAAUGACUUCCGGUUUUUAGGCUAAGGAAUUGCAAGAAUGGAACCAUGAACGGAGAUGUUGGUUUAGACCAGUCGCCCUCUGGACCAAGCUGCUGUGAGCAUGGAUUUAACAAAAUGUCAGCCCCACUGGGUAUGAUUUUCAAGUAUGAAUUCAAAACCUAUGGUGAGUUUCUACCAGUUUAAUCAAAAGUCCUUUUAUUUUGUUCUGGGUAAACACAGCUACGUCUGGGGUUUGCAUGCAAAGCAGUGGCUUUGACUUUCUUUUCGUUUUUUUGUAAAGCAGUAUUCAUCCAGUUAUGAGAAAACCACUUUUGCUUAUUGACCUUCUAAAAUGUCGGCAUUGUAAAUCAAAUCACUUGCAAAAAAUCCUCCAAAACAUAAUUUUUCAAAGCUUUCAUCCCUAAAGAAGUCAAUGUAUAAGGAAUAAGUGGUGAACGAGCCAGGGUCCUCUUCUCCUCUCUAGAGGAGGUAAAACGUCCUGGGCUGGGAGAGAGAGGAAGAGAAGCCAGAGGUUGGAUGGUGGGCAGCUUUUGAGAAGGGGUUUCAUGUUCUGCCCUUCCUGGGUCAGUUUCAUGGAAGGUCCCCAAUGCACGAACAAAUCAGAGAGGCCUGGAGCGGUAGGAGCUCAAGGGCAGAGCCAUGAGCUGCGUUCCGGCGACAGAGGAGACAUGGCUGGUUCGCGUCGUGUCUGCAUCUGAGCAGAGAGCUUGCCUCUGCUUUGUGAGUUUCUCCAGCCCUGAGUGGGGAGUGGAGCAGCCUCUUCCCCUACCCCACCCCUGUGUCCAGGGAUGCUCAGAAGUCCCCGAAGUAAAGGCAGACUUGGAGACACCUGGAGCCUGGGAAUGCGGGAGGGGAUGGACUGGAUGAUGUCUUUGUGAAUCUCUCAAGGAUGGGCAGGAUGUGGUCCAUCUCAGUGGAUAGUGGCCUGCAGCGCAGGUGACUGGCAGACAGGUGUGUCCCCAGUCUCCACUGCUGCAGCCGGCAAGGCCCUCUGGAAACCUUGCUGCAACCUCUGAUGGGAACAGCCCCGGUGGAUGGGAAGCUGCUGUCUGGAUGAAGAGUGAUUCAAGGAAGCUAUGGAUGGAGUUAGGGAAAUACAGCAUUGCAUUUCAUUCUGGGUCUGAUGCGUGUGCCUGACUCAGGGUGGGGCUUCUCUGGGACUGUUAAGAAGUGUGUAUGAGUUCUCUAUGAGAAUUUAAAUGUGCAUAUAUUUGGGUCCCUCCAAAAUUCCUAGGUUGAAGUCCUCACCCCUACUGUGAUGGAAUCAGGAAGAGAAGCCUUUGGGAGGUGAUUAGGUCAUGGAGGGUGGGGCUCUCAUAGAUGGGAUGAGUGCCGUUAUAUAAAGCCAGAGCAAAGAGAGCUCCCUUGUUCCUGCGUCUGUGGGAGGACGGCGCCACCCAAGAACCAGGAGGGACACACUCAGCAGACACCCAAUCUGCUGGUGCCUUAAUCCUGGACUUCCCAACCUCCGGAAUGAUGAGCAAUAAAGUUCUGUUGUUUGUAAGCCAUCCAGUCUGUGGUGUUCGGUUAUAGCAUCCUGAACAGACUAAGACAAUGUUUUGUAAGAGCCCAUUUGGGUUUCCUGGGUGGCCCACAGGAGCUAUGCAGGGGUUCUGGGGUCUGUGCCUUUGGGACUAGAUGACGCAGCUGUCAGAGCCUGUGGCUUGGCUUGGUCAGCGCCUGCCCUUCCCUCCAGUCUCCUCCAUCUUGGCUCCCACCCCUCCUGCCCCCACUGCUCCCCCAGCUCCAGAUUCUUCACCUUAUGAUGUUCCAUAAAGGAAUGCAGCUCUCCCCAGCUCAAGUCCCACAGCCUCUCACCUGAACUCCUGAAGGUGCUCAGCAGAACCCAGAGCCCUCCAUCUGGCAGGAUGAGUCCUCACUCUAGGAACCAUGGGAACCACAGACUCCACCUGAGGCAGCAGCUGCUGCGCACAGAGCAG